AUAGAGAGGAGGCUUUGCAUCGUCAGCUGAUCCUCCACUGAACUGAGAAGCUUUAUAGUCCUGUGACUCCAACUCUGCAGGACUCAGACCCGUCAGUCCACCACAACCACCAUGACUCUCAUCACCCUCCUCAUCUGGACGCUGGCCUGCUGCAGCUUCACAGGAUGCAGCGGCCAGGUGACUGUGACUCAGCCUCCAGUCAUGACAUUUACUCCAGGAUCCACUGUCACGCUGACCUGUAUAAGUACUCCCAGUGUUUAUGGCAAUAUAUAUACGUCCUGGUACCAGCAGAAACCUGGACAGGCUCCCAAGCUUCUCAUAUACUUAACAUCAACUCGAUAUUCAGGAACUCCCUCUCGAUUCAGUGGCAGUGGCUCUGGUUCUAGCUUCACCUUAACCAUCAGCGGUGUUCAGGCUGAAGAUGUUGGAGAUUAUUACUGUCUCGGUUAUCUUAGCAAUGUGUUCACACAGUGA
Limanda limanda (common dab) is the source of this 474-nucleotide non-coding RNA. The record is from the annotation of a RefSeq genome assembly. Lineage: Eukaryota; Metazoa; Chordata; Actinopteri; Pleuronectiformes; Pleuronectidae.